UCUGAUAAUGAUGACAAACUUGCCCUCACUGAGAACGUUGUUCUAUAAUGAGAACUCCGAAUGUACUCAACUGAACCAGA
Small nucleolar RNA from Spea bombifrons (plains spadefoot toad), 80 nucleotides. RefSeq annotates it as small nucleolar RNA SNORD103/SNORD85. The record is from RefSeq and is a predicted model, not a curated record. NCBI's taxonomy places the organism in Eukaryota, Metazoa, Chordata, Amphibia, Anura, Pelobatidae. The transcript has a single exon.